UGCAAGUCGAGGGGUAGAGGAAGCUUGCUUCCUCUUGAGACCGGCGCACGGGUGCGUAACGCGUAUGCAAUCUACCUUUUACAAAGGAAUAGCCCAGAGAAAUUUGGAUUAAUGCCUUAUAGUUUAUGCUUGUGGCAUCACAUACAUAAUAAAGAUUUAUCGGUAAAAGAUGAGCAUGCGUCCCAUUAGCUAGUUGGUAUGGUAACGGCAUACCAAGGCAAUGAUGGGUAGGGGUCCUGAGAGGGAGAUCCCCCACACUGGUACUGAGACACGGACCAGACUCCUACGGGAGGCAGCAGUGAGGAAUAUUGGUCAAUGGAGGCAACUCUGAACCAGCCAUGCCGCGUGCAGGAAGACGGUCCUAUGGAUUGUAAACUGCUUUUAUACAGGAAUAAACCUACCCUCGUGAGGGUAGCUGAAGGUACUGUAGGAAUAAGGAUCGGCUAACUCCGUGCCAGCAGCCGCGGUAAUACGGAGGAUCCAAGCGUUAUCCGGAAUCAUUGGGUUUAAAGGGUUCGUAGGCGGUUUAAUAAGUCAGUGGUGAAAUCUCCUAGCUUAACUAGGAAAUGGCCAUUGAUACUGUUAGACUUGAAUUAUUGGGAAGUAACUAGAAUAUGUAGUGUAGCGGUGAAAUGCUUAGAUAUUACAUGGAAUACCAAUUGCGAAGGCAGGUUACUAUCAGUAUAUUGACGCUGAUGAACGAAAGCGUGGGUAGCGAACAGGAUUAGAUACCCUGGUAGUCCACGCCGUAAACGAUGGAUACUAGCUGUUCGACCGCAAGGUUGAGUGGCUAAGCGAAAGUGAUAAGUAUCCCACCUGGGGAGUACGUUCGCAAGAAUGAAACUCAAAGGAAUUGACGGGGGCCCGCACAAGCGGUGGAGCAUGUGGUUUAAUUCGAUGAUACGCGAGGAACCUUACCAGG
This 922-nucleotide ribosomal RNA is filed under the name Flavobacterium saliperosum. Its description in RNAcentral is "bacterial SSU rRNA". It matches the Rfam family "Bacterial small subunit ribosomal RNA", at positions 56 to 978 of the family's 1533-position model. Lineage: Bacteria; Pseudomonadati; Bacteroidota; Flavobacteriia; Flavobacteriales; Flavobacteriaceae. The record is from RNAcentral.